Cannabis sativa is the source of this 1186-nucleotide long non-coding RNA. RefSeq lists it as uncharacterized. The record is from RefSeq and is a predicted model, not a curated record. NCBI's taxonomy places the organism in Eukaryota, Viridiplantae, Streptophyta, Magnoliopsida, Rosales, Cannabaceae. The transcript has 2 exons.
CGUAAUUUAUUAAUUACGGAGACUUUAUCAGAUUAAGUGGGUAUAGUAGAUACCACUUUUGAAAUAAAAUAUUUUUGAGUUUGGCGGCCUUAGAAACUCGACGAAGUGGUUAGAAAUAUCAAGGCAAUUAAGUAGUAUUGAAUUGGUAUUAUACCGGAUGAGUGUAGAACUUUAAGUUGUCAGUUUGGCAAAUUAGUUAGAAAUUACCAAAAUAUCCCUAAGUCUUAUUUUACAGAAGUGUUUUAUUGGAGGGGCAAUUUAGUCUUUUACUAAGCUAAAAUGUUAACUUCUAUGAAUUUAUUUUAUGGCUGAUAAUUAUUUAAGUUAAAUCUUAUAUUAAAAGGAUUUAUGUUAGGAAAAUUAAGAGGAUAAAGACCAAAUUAAGAAAUAACCCAUUAAGCUCUCUCUCUCUUCUCUUUCGGCCCUAAAAGGAAACCAAGGAGAACAAAUUGUUCAUCUCAUUUCAGUCCAGAAUUUCACUAGAAAUCUACCCUAGUUGCUUUCCAAAUUAUUGAGGACCCGGAUCGUCGAGCUUUAUUUUCAUUCAAGUCGACAUACACACCUAAUUUCUGAACUGAGGUAAGAAAAGUUUUAUGCACCGCUAAGUAUGUUAGAUAAGAAACAAUUAUAAUCGUUGGUGCCUCGAUUAUGAUCGAGGUAAUGAUGUGUACUUGUUGUGCCUCGAUUAUGAUCGAGGAUAGAAACAGUCAUUAUUGGUAUGAGUAAUUACUUGUUUGAAACUGCAGAUAGGUUUCUUACUUAUCGUUCGCUUUAGUGAGCAACGAUAGUGACAUAUGUAGCUCGUGGAUAACGAAUGGUAAGGGUGCUUUAUGAAGCACUGGGAUCGUCUCGUCUUGUAGACGUUUAAUUGAUUAUGCAUUGUUGAAUAUAUGUUGAAUGAUGAGUAUGUAUCUUAUAUCAAGAUGUGAUUACUUGUAUUUUACAUUGUGUGUGAUUUAAUAGCUUUUCUUGCUGAGUCUCUAUGACUCACGGGUGCUUUGUGGUGCAGGUAAAGGGAAGGGUAAAGCAGAGCAACCAUGAGUUAGAGGUUUUCUAGCAGUGUACAUAUCAAUCGCAGUGUCUCGGCUACUAGUGGACAAGAUCCACCCUUUUGAUUGUAUUUUAAAAGUGUAAUCCGAUGUUGUAAUACCACUUUUGAAAUAGUAUGUAAAAGUUUUUAUAAAAA